UACAGAGGGUGCAAGCGUUGUUCGGAAUUAUUGGGCGUAAAGCGCGUGUAGGCGGCUUUGCAAGUCGGGUGUGAAAGCCCUCAGCUCAACUGAGGGAGUGCGCCCGAAACUGCAGAGCUUGAGUACCGGGGAGGGUGGCGGAAUUCCCCAAGUAGAGGUGAAAUGCGUAGAUAUCUGGAGGAACACCGGUGGCGAAGGCGACAUCCUGGACCGGUAUUGACGCUGAGGCGCGAAAGCCAGGGGAGCAAACGGG
Molecule: ribosomal RNA, 253 nt
Filed under: uncultured bacterium
Lineage: Bacteria
Description: partial 16S ribosomal RNA
Rfam family: Bacterial small subunit ribosomal RNA
Source: RNAcentral